UGCCAGCCGCCGCGGUAACACGGGGGGCGCAAGCGUUAUUCGGAAUUAUUGGGCGUAAAGGGCGCGCAGGCGGUCUUGUCCGUCAGGUGUGAAAGCCCGGGGCUCAACCCCGGAAGUGCAUUGGAUACUGGCAGUCUUGAGUAUGGGAGAGGAAAGUGGAAUUCCGAGUGUAGGAGUGAAAUCCGUAGAUAUUCGGAGGAACACCAGUGGCGAAGGCGGCUCCCUGGCCAAAGACUGACGCUCAUGUGCGAAAGUGUGGGUAGCGAACAGGAUUAGAUA
This 279-nucleotide ribosomal RNA is filed under the name uncultured bacterium. Its description in RNAcentral is "partial 16S ribosomal RNA". It matches the Rfam family "Bacterial small subunit ribosomal RNA", at positions 506 to 784 of the family's 1533-position model. The record is from RNAcentral.